Molecule: ribosomal RNA, 253 nt
Filed under: uncultured bacterium
Lineage: Bacteria
Description: partial 16S ribosomal RNA
Rfam family: Bacterial small subunit ribosomal RNA
Source: RNAcentral
UACGGAGGGUGCGAGCGUUGUUCGGAAUUAUUGGGCGUAAAGAGCGUGUAGGCGGUUUGGCAAGUCAGAUGUGAAAGCCCUGGGCUCAACCCAGGAAGUGCAUUUGAAACUGUCUUUCUAGAGUAUGGGAGGGGAGAGUGGAAUUCCCAGUGUAGAGGUGAAAUUCGUAGAUAUUGGGAGGAACACCCGUGGCGAAGGCGACUCUCUGGACCAAUACUGACGCUGAGACGCGAAAGCGUGGGGAGCAAACAGG